UGAAUAAAUUCCCCAGCUCAUAAAAUUCACGCGGCCCCAAAGUGCAAUAAUAAUAAUAAUAAUAUGCGAGAUCCAACAGUGCGACAGAAGCAAUAAAUAAAUAAAUGAUGCGUGUGAACAGAGACCCAGAGAAGUCAAAAGGGAAAUUGAAUUUUCCCACAGGACCGGUCGGUCGGUCCGCAGGACGGAAGGUCAGAAAAGAUUGUGAGGGUGGAUGGAAAAUUGCAGAUGCAAUAAUUGCAGGAGCAGGGGCAGGCGAGUGGUUUCUGUGGUGGUUUCGCAUUUCCGUUUGCGGCUUAGAGUCGUCGACGGCCCACAUGCAAAGAAAAUAUUUGCACAUGCAUUGGACUUCCUUUUCCCGUCCCGUCCCUUACUUUCCGUCAGGAUGACUGGCCCCAUAUAUCAUUCGACAUUCAACACAGCAUGGAAUAUUCACGCCCUACGAGCCGGAUCCGCUUGUUCCGCCUGGAAAUAUACCGAUAUGACGUCAAUGCGUUAACACCCAACACACCAAUACACCAAUACACCAACACACCAACACACAAUCGGAACAAUUUGUGGGAUGAUGCCGGCGUCGAGCCCCGUCUCUGCCGCAAAACUUGCUCUAAUUUAGCAUUGUGUGGCUUUUUGCCUGGGCUACAGUGGGGGUUCAACUAAUAGAAGCUCCACAUAUGUAUUUGAUUAAAAUAAAGACUAAAGAAAUAA
Drosophila persimilis is the source of this 705-nucleotide long non-coding RNA. RefSeq lists it as uncharacterized. The record is from RefSeq and is a predicted model, not a curated record. The transcript has 2 exons. Lineage: Eukaryota; Metazoa; Arthropoda; Insecta; Diptera; Drosophilidae.